This 1554-nucleotide ribosomal RNA is filed under the name Escherichia coli. RNAcentral describes it as "bacterial SSU rRNA". It matches the Rfam family "Bacterial small subunit ribosomal RNA". Lineage: Bacteria; Pseudomonadati; Pseudomonadota; Gammaproteobacteria; Enterobacterales; Enterobacteriaceae. The record is from RNAcentral.
AAAUUGAAGAGUUUGAUCAUGGCUCAGAUUGAACGCUGGCGGCAGGCCUAACACAUGCAAGUCGAACGGUAACAGAAAGCAGCUUGCUGCUUUGCUGACGAGUGGCGGACGGGUGAGUAAUGUCUGGGAAACUGCCUGAUGGAGGGGGAUAACUACUGGAAACGGUAGCUAAUACCGCAUAAUGUCGCAAGACCAAAGAGGGGGACCUUCGGGCCUCUUGCCAUCGGAUGUGCCCAGAUGGGAUUAGCUAGUAGGUGGGGUAACGGCUCACCUAGGCGACGAUCCCUAGCUGGUCUGAGAGGAUGACCAGCCACACUGGAACUGAGACACGGUCCAGACUCCUACGGGAGGCAGCAGUGGGGAAUAUUGCACAAUGGGCGCAAGCCUGAUGCAGCCAUGCCGCGUGUAUGAAGAAGGCCUUCGGGUUGUAAAGUACUUUCAGCGGGGAGGAAGGGAGUAAAGUUAAUACCUUUGCUCAUUGACGUUACCCGCAGAAGAAGCACCGGCUAACUCCGUGCCAGCAGCCGCGGUAAUACGGAGGGUGCAAGCGUUAAUCGGAAUUACUGGGCGUAAAGCGCACGCAGGCGGUUUGUUAAGUCAGAUGUGAAAUCCCCGGGCUCAACCUGGGAACUGCAUCUGAUACUGGCAAGCUUGAGUCUCGUAGAGGGGGGUAGAAUUCCAGGUGUAGCGGUGAAAUGCGUAGAGAUCUGGAGGAAUACCGGUGGCGAAGGCGGCCCCCUGGACGAAGACUGACGCUCAGGUGCGAAAGCGUGGGGAGCAAACAGGAUUAGAUACCCUGGUAGUCCACGCCGUAAACGAUGUCGACUUGGAGGUUGUGCCCUUGAGGCGUGGCUUCCGGAGCUAACGCGUUAAGUCGACCGCCUGGGGAGUACGGCCGCAAGGUUAAAACUCAAAUGAAUUGACGGGGGCCCGCACAAGCGGUGGAGCAUGUGGUUUAAUUCGAUGCAACGCGAAGAACCUUACCUGGUCUUGACAUCCACGGAAGUUUUCAGAGAUGAGAAUGUGCCUUCGGGAACCGUGAGACAGGUGCUGCAUGGCUGUCGUCAGCUCGUGUUGUGAAAUGUUGGGUUAAGUCCCGCAACGAGCGCAACCCUUAUCCUUUGUUGCCAGCGGUCCGGCCGGGAACUCAAAGGAGACUGCCAGUGAUAAACUGGAGGAAGGUGGGGAUGACGUCAAGUCAUCAUGGCCCUUACGACCAGGGCUACACACGUGCUACAAUGGCGCAUACAAAGAGAAGCGACCUCGCGAGAGCAAGCGGACCUCAUAAAGUGCGUCGUAGUCCGGAUUGGAGUCUGCAACUCGACUCCAUGAAGUCGGAAUCGCUAGUAAUCGUGGAUCAGAAUGCCACGGUGAAUACGUUCCCGGGCCUUGUACACACCGCCCGUCACACCAUGGGAGUGGGUUGCAAAAGAAGUAGGUAGCUUAACCUUCGGGAGGGCGCUUACCACUUUGUGAUUCAUGACUGGGGUGAAGUCGUAACAAGGUAACCGUAGGGGAACCUGCGGUUGGAUCACCUCCUUACCUUAAAGAAGC